UUUUAUUAUGUUCGUAAUCAAAGCAAACGUGCGUAUGCGUAUGUUCACGAAGCACCUCUGGAAUGGGGAUCGCAUUCAAAUAUUUAAUAUUCAAACUUUUAAAAAAGGUUUAUCCAAGAGGCACAGUUUGCUCCUUUCUCAAGUUGAGAAUUUUUGAAAGUAUUCCAUAUCACAUGUAGAUUUUACUAAAACUCAUCCUUAUCCGAACCAGCUCAUGUAUCGUAACAUUAAUAAUCCGGUAUCUCAAAAACCCACGAUAUAUCUUUGUAGAUUGUGGCAUGAGCUGUAAACGUGAUUGUUUUGCUGGUUCGAAGAUAAAAAACCAACGACACAAAGCGUUAAUAAAAUUUUUAAAUGCAUAUUCUUCUCUCACCAAUUUCUGAUAUACGCUCACUAUAUUUGUGGUUUAAAGUGCGUGUGGGGGUUCGCUAAUGACAAUGAGUGAGUGUAACUUAUUUGAUCGUUUAAACUUCACUUGUCUUUGACACGCGCCUGAUAACAAAUGAACAAUUAUGAUAGUGAAGCUGUUUGUUAUACAGGAAAAUUUCAUAUCUGGUAGUUGACCAUGCAAUGUGAAGAUACUUAGAAGAAUGGAAGCACUGUGACGAUUGCUAGUAAUGCAGUCUUCGGACAUCCUGACCCCAUGAGCCCUGAUUGCUGAAUAACUCAUAUAAGAAAACUGUAUGGUCAAAGCAAAUCAUGCAGAAUCAAUAUAUUAUGUUAUGACCUCUUUGCCACUUGAAUGAAAUUGCUGACUUUAUGUUUUCGAUUUUUGCUUCCACUUCAAUGUAACUACUAAAUAAACAUGCAAUUACAAGAUUAUCAUUAUAUUUACAUUGUGUGGGAAAGUGUAAAGGUUUCUCAAAAUGUUUUUAAACUGCAACCGGCGAUCUAUCAAUAUUUGAUACAUUAUAUUGAACAUAAAUUUAAACAACAACAUAUAUACAGGGUGGAUUUUUAUCUUGAAACGCUUAAAUAUUUCGGAAACGAGUGAUCCGAGAAAAAAAUGUUUCAAAUAAGAAGUUAAUAUCUGGGAGGGCGAAGGUUAUUCGUGUCAGAAAAACAACGCCUACUUCGACCUUGUAGGCUAGGGAGGGGUCAACUUGAGAAUUUCAAAUGGUAACCACAACAUUUUAUUGAAUAUUCGAAUAGUACGUUAAAAACUGGGAAUAAUUUAUCUAAAAAAUUUUCUUCGAUUUUGACAGGUGGCGCUGUAAUCCAAUUAUCAUUUUUUUGCUUUAGAUCACUCGUUUUCGAAAUAUUUAAGCGUUUCAAGAUAAAAAAACAGCACCCUGUAUAUCUGAUUUUAUUUUUUGUAAUGUAAAUAAUAUGAUAAUAUUUUUUGUUUCGGAUUUUUUCUCUGAUAAAAGCUUUCCAAUUAUCCGAUGGUAAAUUUGCGUAAUCUUCCAUACUCCUAUAAUGGGUUGUUUUAUAGGCUAAUUUUGGAGGCUGGAAAUGGUUGUUAACUGUUAAUUGUUGUUGUUAAUUUUAAUGCCUCAAAUAAUUUCGCGUAGGAUUAACUUUUCUUUAACAUUGAGUUUACAUUUAAUAGAAGUUUUUCGUUUUCUAUCACCUGGUGUUUAAUACGGGUAUUUUCAUGUCUAUUGUAUUUGCUGCUCGAUUAAAUUGCUAUAAGGGUCAAUGUAAUCAAUAUUCGUUUUCAGCAACUAAGACUUUAAAUUUAAUAAGAUUACUUAUAAAUACUUUACUGUUUGUUAAAAAAUUACGAAUGAUUCCAAUACUAUCCCUAAGAAUGUUUUAUUCGGUAUUAUUUAUUUUGUAAAAGUUGUACUGUAGUUGCCAUUUCAGGUUCUAAUUCAAUAACUUCUAAUGCAGUUCUUACUUUUGUUUAAUCAGUAAAAGUCAUAAAAUGAGCUUAUGUCGUACACAAUGAAUAUUUUCAAGCUUCAGCAUUUUGUGAAAAAGUCUUUAUUCCAGCAGAAAUUUGUCAGAAAACUUGAAAGCAUUAACCAAUACGGCAUUAAUUAAUUUUCCAGAACACCGGGCAUCAAUCGCAUUUUUUAGAUUAAACAGACUAAGUAUAAUUGUUUACUAAUCGUUCAAUUAAAUGAUCGAUUUUG
Molecule: long non-coding RNA, 2081 nt
Organism: Dendroctonus ponderosae (mountain pine beetle)
Lineage: Eukaryota; Metazoa; Arthropoda; Insecta; Coleoptera; Curculionidae
Exons: 2
Source: RefSeq, a predicted model, not a curated record